RNAcentral lists this ribosomal RNA (425 nucleotides) under uncultured bacterium. RNAcentral describes it as "partial 16S ribosomal RNA". It matches the Rfam family "Bacterial small subunit ribosomal RNA", at positions 354 to 796 of the family's 1533-position model. The record is from RNAcentral.
GUUAGGAAUAUUGGACAAUGGGCGCAAGCCUGAUCCAGCCAUGCCGCGUGAGUGAUGAAGGCCUUCGGGUUGUAAAGCUCUUUAGUCCACGAAUAUAAUGACUGUAGUGGAAGAAUAAGCCCCGGCUAACUUCGUGCCAGCAGCCGCGGUAAUACGAAGGGGGCGAGCGUUAUUCGGAAUCACUGGGCGUAAAGCGUGCGUAGGCUGUUUUGUAAGUCAGAAGUGAAAGCCCAGGGCUUAACCCUGGAAUUGCUUUUGAAACUACAAGACUCGAAUUCGGGAGAGGAUAGCGGAAUUGUCAGUGUAGCAGUGAAAUGCGUAGAUAUUGGAAGGAACACCAGUGGCGUAAGCGGCUAUCUGGACGAGUAUUGACGCUGAGGCACGAAAGCGUGGGGAUCAAACAGGAUUAGAAACCCGUGUAGUCC